This 1129-nucleotide long non-coding RNA is filed under the name Pogona vitticeps (central bearded dragon). RNAcentral describes it as "lncRNA (ENSPVIG00000004259.1)". Lineage: Eukaryota; Metazoa; Chordata; Lepidosauria; Squamata; Agamidae. The record is from RNAcentral.
AAUCUCGCUUUGGAUUCCCUUCAGACCCAGCUUUCUCACUUUGCUGCAAAAGCUCUCCCAGGAUGCGUUUCAGGGUCUGUUGAGGCUCAAACCAGGAACCCAUGUCAUGCACUAAUUUUGUAGCCGUAGAUUUUGAAACACAGAUGUUCACUGUGACGCUCCCCAAAGCCAUGCACCUAAGGAGAAUCCAAAAAGAUGUAGUUAGUUGCAUUGAUCCACAUCAACACACCAGUUCUGGUGCUUUUCCCCUUUCCCCAGAAUCAGGUCUUUUGUACAGGUAACAGGUCUUAACUAGCCCUUCAAGAGCCAACCACCAUAAAUAGGAUUGUUGGGUUGAUAGCAUUUCCUUCCCUAGGAUGACAGAGCCAAAAACCAGCACCAGAGGACAGUUUUUAUGAUGCCACAGUUGCAGGGCAAACAAUGAAAGUAGAGUACCCCCCCACACACACUCUUUGUCAGGCUUUGCUCUACCACUGCCAAUGUUUGUGAGACAAGAAGCGUCAUGAGUUGCGAUGCUGAUGUUCCACUCCUCGUCUUCCUCCAACUGGCAUGAGGGAUUCAAAUUUUGGCGUGCCAGGAAAAGCUCAGUGCGAGGGGAGAAGGCACGGAAGAGAGCUGGCAAGGACAUGAGCUUGGACUCUUUUGGAAUAAUGAACAUUCAAAAGGAUCCUGAUGGAUCCAUAUUCCUCCUGUCCUGCAAGAGAUGAAAGGAUGUUAUAUUUAUUUGGCGUUAUAUUUAUUUGAAUAUAUUGAUUUGUCUGGGUGUUUUAUUUACAUGCCUCCUUUCUCCCAAUGAGGAGAUCCAAGGUGGUUCGCAAUGUUAAGAAGAACAGAAUUAAAAACACCAGUUAAACAUUAUAACAUUUUCCAAAUGGGAUUGUCUUCUCUGACCUAUAGGGUUGCCGCAUCACUGAAGACCAAGAGAAUCUGGUUGAACAUAAAGGAAGUGAAGCCCAGACUUUGUAAAAUAAAGGAUUCAGGCGCAUGGAUCUGGACCACUGAAUCUGUGAUGACCUAUUAAAUGCUAUACCCAAAUUAGCCCGUGGGAUUUCCUUGGCGAGUGAACAGCUCCCGUCGAAUGCAGACCAAAGUAAAUAAAAUAAUUAACAACUGGAAUAGGAGAGGAAGC